RNAcentral lists this small nuclear RNA (107 nucleotides) under Diabrotica virgifera virgifera (western corn rootworm). Lineage: Eukaryota; Metazoa; Arthropoda; Insecta; Coleoptera; Chrysomelidae. The record is from RNAcentral.
UUACUCGCUUCGGCGGUACAUAUACUAAAAUUGGAACGAUACAGAGAAGAUUAGCAUGGCCCCUGCGCAAGGAUGGCACGCAAAAUCGUGAAGCGUUCCACAUUUGU